UCUUCAUGCGUGAUCUUUUUAAAAGUAUUUACAGUUUAAGAAGUUAAAAACUUUUACAUGAAUAUUUUCCAAAAUGCCAGUUUAUUUUUAAGAUAGUCAGAUCGGUUGCACAAAAAAAAAAUAUUAUUCAGAUCUAUGGGCGUGUCCGUGUUGAAUAUGGACCCAAGUGGUGGUAAUCAAAGACGCACAAACUGUAAGAUAUUUUUAUUUGCCUUUUUCUUCUAAUUGCCGGUUUCAAUUUGAUUUGUUUUGUUUAGUCGUUCCUAUAAUGUUUUUUAUGUGUCUUUUCCAUAAUGCUAUAAAAGUGCAAAUGGCGAUCAUAUCGUAGUGUCACAAAUCAUUCGAGUC
RNAcentral lists this long non-coding RNA (348 nucleotides) under Brassica napus (rape). Its description in RNAcentral is "long non-coding RNA (BNAP_LNC006440)". Lineage: Eukaryota; Viridiplantae; Streptophyta; Magnoliopsida; Brassicales; Brassicaceae. The record is from RNAcentral.